Molecule: non-coding RNA, 82 nt
Organism: Ascosphaera atra
Lineage: Eukaryota; Fungi; Ascomycota; Eurotiomycetes; Onygenales; Ascosphaeraceae
Source: the annotation of a GenBank genome assembly
GCCCGUAUAGCUCAGUGGUAGAGCGCAUCACUCGUACUCCAUCGUCAUGAUGAGGUCCUCGGUUCGAUCCCGAGUGUGGGCA